This 104-nucleotide ribosomal RNA is filed under the name Jaculus jaculus (lesser Egyptian jerboa). Lineage: Eukaryota; Metazoa; Chordata; Mammalia; Rodentia; Dipodidae. The record is from RNAcentral.
UCUAUGCCAUAUCACCCCGAAUAUGCCAGAUCUCAUCUGAUCUCGAAAGCUAAGCAGGGUCAAGCCUGGUGAGUACUUGCAGAGGAGAACUGAAGCAUUUAGGA